GUUCGAUCCAUCAUGAAUGUCACUAAUUUAAUUAUUAUUUCUUUAGGAGCAAGAUUUGAUUUCUGAAAUUUAAAUUAGAUUUUUUCUAAAGUUGGUUUCACCAUACCAUAUAAGAUAUGAAAUGGUGGACAAGUUAGAGGAAAGGUCUGUGAGAGCUCAUUUAUAAGGUAUCCCAAAAGGUGUUUGAGAUAUAUCUUUCUCUUUCCAAUGG
This 211-nucleotide long non-coding RNA is filed under the name Elaeis guineensis (African oil palm). RNAcentral describes it as "long non-coding RNA (EGUI_LNC046746)". The record is from RNAcentral. Lineage: Eukaryota; Viridiplantae; Streptophyta; Magnoliopsida; Arecales; Arecaceae.